CCUAGUAAAGGCCAAGUUGUUGUAACAGAAGGCUUUGUUGUUUGGAUAGCCUAAGGAAGGCUGAUGUAUCUCUCAUUUUAUUAGGUGAGUUCUGAAUAGUUCAAAAAUUAGAAGCCACAUGCCAUCAUCCAUAUGCAAGCUUGUCUCAGAAAAGAUGUCUGAGAUUAGAAUUUUACGAUAUAUAUAUAUAUAUAUAUCCAGGAUUAAAGGUUGGAGGAUUGCUAAGAAUGAUGGAACCUGAGCUAUGAGUUGAGAUAGGAAUGACAAUAGAGACAUGCACAAUCUCAAAAUUCAGAAGAUCAUGCACUUAACAUGAAGCAUUUCAUGCAAAACCAAAUAGGCCAUGGAAACUAAAGUAGCAUGCACCUCAUUGUGCAAGAUAGGAAAACUAAAAAUGACAAUAGUACAAACUGGUAGUCCAGACCAUGGGGAGGGG
Molecule: long non-coding RNA, 436 nt
Filed under: Elaeis guineensis (African oil palm)
Lineage: Eukaryota; Viridiplantae; Streptophyta; Magnoliopsida; Arecales; Arecaceae
Description: long non-coding RNA (EGUI_LNC004570)
Source: RNAcentral